This 253-nucleotide ribosomal RNA is filed under the name uncultured bacterium. RNAcentral describes it as "partial 16S ribosomal RNA". It matches the Rfam family "Bacterial small subunit ribosomal RNA", at positions 524 to 776 of the family's 1533-position model. The record is from RNAcentral.
UACGUAGGGUGCGAGCGUUGUCCGGAAUUAUUGGACGUAAAGAGCUUGUAGGUGGUUUGUCGCGUCUGCUGUGAAAAUCCGAGGCUCAACCUCGGACUUGCAGUGGGUACGGGCAGACUAGAGUGUGGUAGGGGAGACUGGAAUUCCUUGUGUAGCGGUGGAAUGCGCAGAUAUCAGGAGGAACACCGAUGGCGAAGGCAGGUCUCUGGGCCAUUACUGACACUGAGAAGCGAAAGCAUGGGGAGCGAACAGG